GACGAACGCUGGCGGCGUGCCUAAUACAUGCAAGUCGAGCGAGUCUGCCUUGAAGAUCGGAGUGCUUGCACUCUGUGAAACAAGAUACAGGCUAGCGGCGGACGGGUGAGUAACACGUGGGUAACCUGCCCAAGAGAUCGGGAUAACACCUGGAAACAGAUGCUCAUACCGGAUAACAACAGAUGAUGCCUAUCAACUGUUUAAAAGAUGGUUCUGCUAUCACUCUUGGAUGGACCUGCGGUGCAUUAGCUAGUUGGUAGGGUAACGGCCUACCAAGGCGAUGAUGCAUAGCCGAGUUGAGAGACUGAUCGGCCACAUUGGGACUGAGACACGGCCCAAACUCCUACGGGAGGCAGCAGUAGGGAAUCUUCCACAAUGGACGCAAGUCUGAUGGAGCAACGCCGCGUGAGUGAAGAAGGGUUUCGGCUCGUAAAGCUCUGUUGUUGGUGAAGAAGGACAGGGGUAGUAACUGACCUUUGUUUGACGGUAAUCAAUUAGAAAGUCACGGCUAACUACGUG
Molecule: ribosomal RNA, 519 nt
Filed under: uncultured bacterium
Lineage: Bacteria
Description: partial 16S ribosomal RNA
Rfam family: Bacterial small subunit ribosomal RNA
Source: RNAcentral